CGUCACAAUAACUCCCAACUGUGUAGUUUUAUGUAGGCUUGCAGAGUGCUGCUACAGUGGAAGGAAGACUCGACUCUUGUCAACUCUUAUCUACAAUGAGCUCUCUCCGUAUCUUUAUCUUAAUCUUAUCUCUCCUUCUCUGUCAUGGAUUUGAGGAAUAUCCAGGAUUCGAGGAGCCCACAGAGGAGGGCGAGAUUAGUAUAAGACCAAUUUCGGCGGAACAUUCUCGAACAUUUCGCACGUACGUUGCAGAGUACGCGGUAGAUUGUGACCUGUUAACCAAAUCUAUCACCAUGCCCGAUGACACUGGUAUAGCCUGGCUAAAGAUAACACUAGACGGGGUGUACUGUGUAAGCAGAGUGGUGAGGUACCGGAGCUUGAAGAGAAGGAACAAUCACACUCACAUGUGUACACAGAGGGAGUGUGGGGUUUGUAAGGGCUACACUUGUAGGGAGUUCAAACUUUCAGUGUACGCGGAAAAUGCUGCACCGGAUACUGCAUCGGACACUGCACUGGACACUGCACCGGACACUGCACCGGACACUGCACCGGACACUAGUUGCAAGAUGGGGGAUACAGUGGAGUUCCGCACUGAUAAUGGGUAUUAUAUUGCUGGGUACGAUGUGGAAAUAUUUGUUGUUUCAAACUAAGAGUAAGACAUUUGUGUACAUAAUUGGAAUCGCAAGUACUGAUAAUUGAGUUCCAGUUGAUUUAUUGUUGUUCUUAAUUUUAUAUACGAUUUGUUUCAGCUUUCAAGAGUUUUUUAUUCUGUAUUUUCGGUGUUUAAUUAAAA
Molecule: long non-coding RNA, 793 nt
Organism: Bolinopsis microptera
Lineage: Eukaryota; Metazoa; Ctenophora; Tentaculata; Lobata; Bolinopsidae
Exons: 2
Source: RefSeq, a predicted model, not a curated record